AUAAUUACCUUAAGUCUUAUCUUAAUUGAAUCCACCUCUUCAUCUCCUUACGCGUCUCCAUCUCUUCAUCUCUUUAUUUUAUUUAUUAAUUUAUUUUUUUCCUUCAUACGCAUUCGCGUCCCCUGGCCCUCUCCUUCUCCUUGUCUUCCACAUCCGCCCGUUCGCACUGCUGCGGUCCCCCCAUCCCCUCCCUCGCUCAUGCGCCCUCCUCACCUCCCUCCGCCACCACCCCCUUCGCCUCUCCGCCCUUCGAUGCCCUCGCGGGCUUCUUCCGCGACCACCUCUACAGCCGCAGCAGCAACC
Molecule: long non-coding RNA, 303 nt
Filed under: Ananas comosus (pineapple)
Lineage: Eukaryota; Viridiplantae; Streptophyta; Magnoliopsida; Poales; Bromeliaceae
Description: long non-coding RNA (ACOM_LNC033449)
Source: RNAcentral